AUACGUAGGGAGCGAGCGUUGUCCGGAAUUACUGGGUGUAAAGGGAGCGUAGGCGGGACUGCAAGUCAGAUGUGAAAUACCGGGGCUUAACCCCGGAGCUGCAUUUGAAACUGUGGUUCUUGAGUGAAGUAGAGGCAAGCGGAAUUCCUGGUGUAGCGGUGAAAUGCGUAGAUAUCAGGAGGAACACCGGUGGCGAAGGCGGCUUGCUGGGCUUUUACUGACGCUGAAGCUCGAAAGCGUGGGUAGCAAACAGGAUUAGAUACCCUGGUAGUCCACGCUGUAAACGAUGAUUACUAGGUGUGGGGGGACUGACCCCUUCCGUGCCGCAGGUAACACAAUAAGUAAUCCACCUGGGGAGUACGGCCGCAAGGUGGAAACUCAAAUGAAUUGACGGGG
This 396-nucleotide ribosomal RNA is filed under the name uncultured bacterium. Its description in RNAcentral is "partial 16S ribosomal RNA". It matches the Rfam family "Bacterial small subunit ribosomal RNA", at positions 523 to 918 of the family's 1533-position model. The record is from RNAcentral.